CUACAUCUGUGAGCAUGAAAUCAUGCCUAAUGAUUGAAAAGUUGAAUUUAACUCUCCUGUAGUUUCAGCUGUAAGGAUUUGUAAUGCUUCCUGCAGCCGGUUUCUUGGCUUAUCCUCUGGCAGUGUCCCAACAGCAACAGUGCAUUCUAACAUGUCACCAGGGUUUGUCAGCAGAAAUUUAGGGAAAAAAUCCCACCAGCAUUGCUCAUUUUAAUCUUUCAGAAGAGGUCAGAGUGCUGAGCAAUGAGGCUUAGAAGAGAAGAACAGAAACAAGGGAAGAGUGGUUAUUUGCUAUGAUUGAUGAAAAUAACAUUGCAGAUCCCAGCUUGAAUUUCGGGGACUUGUAGUAAAUCCAUGAAUCCAUCGAGUAUAUAAAAACCCUCACAGUUUUACAUGUUGCACUAUUUCAAAUUCAUGAGACCAUUAUUUUAUCUUCACCAGGUCCUGCCUUUUCAUACUGUCUGCCACACAAAUGAUCCAGAAACAGCUUACAAUUACCCAGGUCUCUGUGGUGACUAGGUCAUGUAAUCACACCUGCCUUCACUGUCACUGUGUAUCACCUUUCCCUUGUCUGCUAUUUACUUUGAUUUAGGUUCUAUUUAGGCUAUUUAUUUUACCUAGCUUCCCUUUCCUAUUUAUCUGCUGUCUACUGUCCAUAUCUUGGGUUAUAAAAUCCAGGGAGAAAAGUAACUUCCCAGUGAGUUAUACACUGCCACUGACUGUGAGAUUUACUUUUGGCUGGAGUCUCCAGACUGUCGUGUCACAUCAAAUAGCGAAAAGAAAAACACUAUGCAGGUCCAUCUGAAGGGUCUAGGAAAAAAACCCAAAACAUUUUCUAAAAGGUGAGCAGGACAGCCCAGAAGUCUGAAACCUCCUUUAAGUCAUGUUCUGACUUAUUACUCAGAUACCAUUCAUUUCUCUGCAGCACCAUUUAAUUAAAUCAGAUAGGAGAGAGCUGUUGGAUUGCAUCCACCCUCUCAGUGCCUUUCUUGGGCAUGAGAGUUAUUCCUAUCUUCUUUUGACUCCAUGAGAUGAAAGGUCACAUAGGGUCACCAUCUUGGAAACACACUGCAUUGUGGCAACACCCUUGCAGUGGUUCUCAAAAAAGCUAACACGUGAUUUAUUAGAAAGUAUAUCCUCUUUUCUGAGGGAACUUAUCCUAAAACCACCACAGAGUACAGGGCAGAGGUGAUACAAGGUUUGCUUCCUUACUUUUUUUUUUACUUUUUUUUUUUCUCCUAUGGACAAGCUGGUGAUCCAGGUCUUUGUUACUAUGAAUUUAGACUGUUGUACAUACUGGAGGGCUCAUCUGUGUUUCACCAUCCUGUUUUGCUAGGACUAUGCCACAGGAGCUGCCAUAGAAAGAGCAGUGCCAAAAAGCACUUCAGAAAAAGGGUAAUAAUGAUGCCUGUAGUUCUGUUUGUGCUGUACAGUCUAAAUCCAUACCAGGUACACAAGGCAACAUGAGGUAUCUCUUUAGAAGUGAUCCCCUUAUUCUCAGUUGUUCAGAUUGUUAACUGAAGGCUGGAGGGAAGGGUGAAGGCAGCAGCCCAAAUCCCAGGUUUCCGUGACUCAUUGCUAUGUCCUGGCCAUGUCCUCCAGCUGCUUCUAAGCAAGUACUGUUUUCUGCUGAGUCAUAGUAUUACAAGGCAUUUUCCCCUUGUGAUUAAUCCCUUCUUUAACCCAGAGAAGAAACAGCAAACCUGAUUUCUGCUCUCUCCUGCUCUGAGGAAAGUGCUUGGGUCAUUGAAAAUGUGGAUUCUCCUCCGUUACACAUCACCUUCCCAUUUUUUCCUGGCUCCUGCUCACACCCAGCUUUAUCUCUGAUGCAUGGAAACAUCCCUGGCUCCCUUAGGGAACCUCUAGUUAUCCUGCUUACUAUCCAUCUUAUUAACCAACCUCUGCCAGAGGACAGCUGUAAGUGUUUUUCAUGGGGAUUUUCUUCAGCGUGAGCUGCUGUGGCAGUAAAGUGCUUGUAGUACUCCUGAUGCCUUUGCUGCUCUUACUGUAUGUUGCAACAGCUUACACAGCAAGUUUCCAUGCCCUGUCACAUGUUAAAUCACUCUUGACAUCAGCUGAUAAGCUUUUCAGAGCCUGCAGCCCAAUCUUGACCAAACCAAGACAGGAAUAUGCGUCCUGAGCUGCAUUUUCUCAUUUGAAUGUUAUGAAACACUUUUGGACUCGUGACUUCUCUGGGCUGACCUUACUUCAUCUGCAGAGCAAGGCCACUGAGGAGCACAUCGACCUCCAGAGGCACGGAGCUCGAGGCACCCAUUGUCAGCUAUAGCAAACAGUAUGUGCUGAAGCUGGUCAGCUUGAAAAGCAAACCACGAGGCUCAAACCCUGCUUUUAAUAAACCAGGUGUCGUUAUGGGGAAGUGAUUUAUUUUUCUGUUUAUCAAGUAUUUGAGAGAGAAAAGACUUGGCUUUUUAUUUUUUUUGGCUGAGGUUCUGUGGGAAGCCUAUCCAGCUAAGCUUGUGAGUUCCCACGUUAUGAACUAAUACAGCUAAUGCUGCAGGACAUCAGUGUGUGUCAGGCACCCGAAGGCACCAAGCUCAUUGCAGUCUGGAGGCCUGUGUUCAUGGAAGGCUUUCUCACUUCUGACACUGGAGAGGGAAGGCAAAGUUACUUACAGUUAGAGACCUGUGGCCAGGGCUCGGUAAAAAGUUUAGAAUAUGCAAAGCAGCACAGGUAGAAAAUCAUGGUUAUCAAAAAUUAAGCAUUUGUAUACACAUUGGAGGGCCAUCACGGUCUAGUAGUACUUGAAACACAAUCCCUAUUUUCUUUUGUGCAAGGUUGGUGUCACAAAGCCAUUUGUUGUCUUUGUCUUAUCCCCCUGCUCUCUCCAGCCAGCCGGUCUUGACACAAGAACAGCUGUCACAACACUGCCGCCAACACAAAGUUAGGAAGAGGGGAUGUCGGGAUGUGAGCUGAAUCUACUGUAUCUGAGGUCUGGAGUAAAGUUAGCUGCUCAGGAAGAUGCAACAGCCCUUGCCAAACGUUGGACGUCAGAGGCAAGAACUUCAAAGCAAUGAACUAGUGUAAGAUGUCAUUGGAAGAUGCGUGUUGAAUGAGCAGAAGUUCCUGGGCAGCCUGGCAUUGCAGCAAGAUGAGCUGCUGCUGCUGCAGAGGAUCUUGGAGAACUGCUCAAAGUGCUGCUGCUGCUUUCACAUCCUGUUACAUCUUGAGAAACCUCACUCAGUCUCACUGAAAGUGAAUGAAGUUGUUUUGUUCUCCUUA
This is a long non-coding RNA of Apus apus (common swift), 3240 nucleotides long. RefSeq lists it as uncharacterized. NCBI's taxonomy places the organism in Eukaryota, Metazoa, Chordata, Aves, Apodiformes, Apodidae. The transcript has 2 exons. The record is from RefSeq and is a predicted model, not a curated record.